This is a long non-coding RNA of Rosa chinensis, 2293 nucleotides long. RefSeq lists it as uncharacterized. The record is from RefSeq and is a predicted model, not a curated record. Lineage: Eukaryota; Viridiplantae; Streptophyta; Magnoliopsida; Rosales; Rosaceae. The transcript has 5 exons.
GCUCAGUCCGAUCGUGUCUUCGCCCCACGCCUCCACAGAGAGGUGGAGAAAAGAGAGAGAGAUAGCGAAGGAGGUGGUACGAUUCGGAUUCGAUCUUCCCUGCGUAGAUUGGCUGAACGCAGAAAGCCUUGGAGAUUUCAGGUUGGGAAAGCUUUCGCAGUGUUCGUUUUGGGAGGCAGAAGGCCUCAACUAAGGCUAUUCAGGGAUUCGAGAGAAGGAGGAAGACCAUAACAAAGACGUACUUCGUUGGCUGAGAAUUUGCGGUUGGAUAUAACUUUGUUUAGUAUUGAUUUCAAAACUGUCCGAGCUCAUCUAGAAGACGGAGUUCAGGCUAGAGCAAGAUGUUCACAGAAAGUGCUGGAUUAUUCAGUUUUGUUUUCUGGUCAGGAAGCUGGAUUUAGAAAUGGAUAGAAAGAAGGAAUGAAAGAAAGAGAGAGGUCCGUUCGAUCUUUUGUUGUUGGUUGCUGAUCAAAGGAUUGUUGAUAGGGAGAGAAUUUUCAUCUGUUCCGUGUUUGUCGGGUUAAAAGAUUAUUCCCAACCACUAUCUUGCUUCAAGUCAUUUUCUUCAGUGAGUACCAGACCCAGCAAGGGUAACCAAAGCACCACAGCAAGUAAGUUUUCAAAUGUUGCAGAUAUAUAUUCAUCAGGGUAAUUGAUUCUGUCUUUGCUCAAUUUCUGGUUUUCAAGUAAAGUCAGUUGCUUCUUCACAGCUAAAAUGGGUUCCAUUUAUGCAAUUUGGUGAAUUUGAGGGAUAGAUUUUUUUUUUGUGGUUGCGUGUAAUUUUGUAACAUUUGUUCUUAGUUUUUGAGGGUGUACUUUGUUUAGUGAUAUACUGUUAUACAGCUGCAAUCAGGGAUGUAGUGAAAGACAUCAAUUGAGAUUGGUAUAAGACGGUAGUGUAUCUGUUUCAUUUGAUCGAGUGUGGUUUCUGCUUAUUUUUAGUUGUUUGCUACUUUAUUUUCUGCUAUACCUGUUUCAUUUGAUCAACUGUGGUUUCUGCUUACUUUUAGUUGUUUACCAUGUUUUUAUUUGAACUGUCCAUAUUUGAAAUUCAUGGAGCACAUGGGUACCUUAGAAACAUGAACUGUACUACAGAAGAUCAUAGUAAAUGAGAAGGAGAGGGAAUUCAUGAUUAUAUGUAAUGAAAUCAAAAUUGAUCGCGAGAUUAUUGCUGGAACUGAGAUAGAACAUAAUGAGUCUGGUAUAACACCAAAAUUGGUCAUGUACUGUUAAAGGUGGAAGUAGUACAUAGUAGCUUCCUUUAGCAUGGUAUAUAUUUGGUUAAUGUGAGAGUUCACAGUUACUUGCAUAUACUCUUGCAAAGGAAAGGGUUGGUCUCCUACUUUGAUAUUCAACAGAUGAAGUUUCUCAUUCAGAGGAAAUGAAUUGCUAUUAAUUAUUUCAGAUUUCAGUUUAGCCUCUGUUCCACCUUCUCUUUUAAGUUUUGCAUAUAAAUUCUAUAGAUUUUUCAGCACCACCAGUUCAGAAAAAACAGGAAAUUAAAUAGAAUAGAAAACUAUAUAAUGUUCCACAGUCAAUACUCCAAUUCUCAAAAGCAGCUCACUAUAAUUUGGCUUUGUUUGCCAUGGACUGGGAACCACAUAGUUUGAAGAGACAAUUAAUUGACAUAAGGUCAUUUGUUAGUCAUUUGUGCUCUGCUUGGUGUCUAGGUUUGGAUAUCUGUUAGUCAUUUGUUCUUUAUGGCCCUGUUUGGUGUCUAGCUUUGGAUUGUGGAUCCAAGCUCACGUUUAGAUUGAAUGAUUAAUAAUGGAAGAAACAGAGACUAACUUCCAACUUUGAUCCAAUUUAAGUAAAGAGUUUACAUCCCACCAUUUUGUGUUCAUCAGGAGGAGUUUCCUCCCUGGAAACAAUCCAACUUUCUUUGACUUGAAAAUUUCCAAUUGAAAAUUUAAGUUCAAUUCUGGCAGCUAGGUUAUUCUUCCCCACUGUGUUCAUAUUGGUUGUUUAUCACUCUCCCUUUUGAACAUGAAAUUGAUGAUCUCUGAAGUUGGUUUAGAUUACAAGUAAACCAUAUUGUUCACAGUGAGAUGAGUUUUGAUAAAAGAUGACAUAUAGGCAUUUGAUUGCUCAUAGUGACAUCAACUUGGCUUCACUUUAUGAUUCUAUCUUGAUAUGAUGUAUACCAAGUUUCCUUUUGAUUCAAGUCAACUUGAAAGUCAAUGAAUCCAUAAUUGUUAUAUAAUUAGUUAAUGAAUGCAUUGCUGGAUCAACAACUUUUUAAGCUUAGUACAUCUAAGUCUGACCAACUUUAUCUCUUAUCUGUUCAUCUAUA